Molecule: ribosomal RNA, 253 nt
Filed under: uncultured bacterium
Lineage: Bacteria
Description: partial 16S ribosomal RNA
Rfam family: Bacterial small subunit ribosomal RNA
Source: RNAcentral
UACGGAGGGUGCAAGCGUUGUCCGGAUUUAUUGGGUUUAAAGGGUGCGUAGGCGGCCCGGUAAGUCAGUGGUGAAAGCCUCCAGCUCAACUGGAGAACUGCCAUUGAUACUAUCAGUCUUGAAUACCGUGGAGGUAAGCGGAAUAUGUCAUGUAGCGGUGAAAUGCUUAGAUAUGACAUAGAACACCAAUUGCGAAGGCAGCUUACUACCCGAAUAUUGACACUGAGGCACGAAAGCGUGGGGAUCAAACAGG